Molecule: long non-coding RNA, 211 nt
Filed under: Lathyrus oleraceus (garden pea)
Lineage: Eukaryota; Viridiplantae; Streptophyta; Magnoliopsida; Fabales; Fabaceae
Description: Pisum sativum (pea) long non-coding RNA (PSAT_LNC023518)
Source: RNAcentral
AUUAACUCAACACCUUAAGAACAUGCAUCAAAUUCAACAAUUAAAAAUCUCCAUCUACCAAAAUUAAAAGACUUUAAAACUACUUCAAUCCAUAAAAAUUGAAACUUAAAAAAAAAUAGAAUAAGAAAAAAAAUCAUUUUUUAGAUUUGAAAAAAAAAUCCAUAAAAAAUUGAAAAUAGUAACCUAUGUGAUUUAUCCAAAUAACAUGAAC